CGGAUUGCAGGCUGCAACUCGCCUGCAUGAAGCUGGAAUUGCUAGUAAUCGCGGAUCAGCAAGCCGCGGUGAAUACGUUCCCGGGCCUUGUACACACCGCCCGUCACACCAUGAGAGUCGGGAACACCCGAAGUCCGUAGUCUAACCGCAAGGGGGGCGCGGCCGAAGGUGGGUCCGGUAAUUGGGGUGAAGUCGUAACAAGGUAUC
Molecule: ribosomal RNA, 207 nt
Filed under: uncultured bacterium
Lineage: Bacteria
Description: partial 16S ribosomal RNA
Rfam family: Bacterial small subunit ribosomal RNA
Source: RNAcentral